Rattus norvegicus (Norway rat) is the source of this 202-nucleotide non-coding RNA. The record is from RefSeq and is a predicted model, not a curated record. Lineage: Eukaryota; Metazoa; Chordata; Mammalia; Rodentia; Muridae.
GAUGUAAACACUGCCAGAGCUGGGGAGAGGACGGCAUGCCAGUUUUAGGAUCAGACUUCUCCCAAGGGGAGAAGGGCUGAACCAACACCCGUGGUUUAAACUCUCAUAACUGACAACCUGCUCUAGUUUACGAAACAACCUCACUUGGUCCCCACUCAGCUAACGACGAUGAAUCGAAGCAACAUUUGCUGAAUGAAGCUGA